GCUCUAUUACGUAAGACUCACUAUAAGAGAUAGAAAAAUAUGUAUUUAUAAUAGAAGCAUUGUACUAGAUGCAAACCAGAUGCUCCGCAGGGCGCAGCUUUAUACGACCGCAGAGGUUGAACCCUGAACGGUUGGGGCAAGUAUGGACACAACAUUCAAGAUGGAUUCAGCUCUAAAUUUGGAUUGUGAUUAAAUAGUUGACACAGCAUAUGUUUCUGACACAGAA
Molecule: long non-coding RNA, 226 nt
Filed under: Mytilus galloprovincialis (Mediterranean mussel)
Lineage: Eukaryota; Metazoa; Mollusca; Bivalvia; Mytilida; Mytilidae
Source: RNAcentral